RNAcentral lists this ribosomal RNA (490 nucleotides) under uncultured bacterium. RNAcentral describes it as "partial 16S ribosomal RNA". It matches the Rfam family "Bacterial small subunit ribosomal RNA", at positions 30 to 507 of the family's 1533-position model. The record is from RNAcentral.
AUUGAACGCUGGCGGCAGGCCUAACACAUGCAAUUCGAACGGUAACAGGAAGAAGCUUGCUUCUUUGCUGACGAGUGGCGGACGGGUGAGUAAUGUCUGGGAAACUGCCUGAUGGAGGGGGAUAACUACUGGAAACGGUAGCUAAUACCGCAUAACGUCGCAAGACCAAAGAGGGGGACCUUCGGGCCUCUUGCCAUCGGAUGUGCCCAGAUGGGAUUAGCUAGUAGGUGGGGUAACGGCUCACCUAGGCGACGAUCCCUAGCUGGUCUGAGAGGAUGACCAGCCACACUGGAACUGAGACACGGUCCAGACUCCUACGGGAGGCAGCAGUGGGGAAUAUUGCACAAUGGGCGCAAGCCUGAUGCAGCCAUGCCGCGUGUAUGAAGAAGGCCUUCGGGUUGUAAAGUACUUUCAGCGGGGAGGAAGGGAGUAAAGUUAAUACCUUGGCUCAUUGACGUUACCCGCAGAAGAAGCACCGGCUAACUCCGUG